CAGCUACCUGCCCUCCUGCAUGAUGCCCUCCUUCUUCCUCUCCCUUCACUAAGUUACCAUCUGGAAUAGAAUCCAGUAGUGAUCCACCAAUGGACAAUUUUUGCUAUGAAGGAGGAAAGAGAGGACAGAUUUGAUUACAACAAAAGCAUCCCAAGAAUGUGUCCUGCAUGAGCUCUUCAGGCUGUGAAAUCUUGAACUUCUACACCCAUCCUUGGCUGGCUUUUUCCAUGUGAGGCCAUAUAGAGAAGAAGAAAGCUGAGGCUCAGAGUGAUCAAGAAUACCCAGCCAGAACGUGGCAUCUGGGACUUCUGUCUCCACUCUGUUACCCACCAGCACCCUUGGGCCCUAUUGCUUGGCUAGAUGGGCACUCUGCAUGUAUCAGGCAUUGUCUGUCACCUGAGUCACUACAUGUAUGACAUCAUAUGUCUAUUACCAG
Molecule: long non-coding RNA, 436 nt
Filed under: Pan troglodytes (chimpanzee)
Lineage: Eukaryota; Metazoa; Chordata; Mammalia; Primates; Hominidae
Description: long non-coding RNA NONPTRT015372
Source: RNAcentral